RNAcentral lists this non-coding RNA (24 nucleotides) under Drosophila melanogaster (fruit fly). The record is from RNAcentral. RNAcentral also lists the same sequence under 3 other names. Lineage: Eukaryota; Metazoa; Arthropoda; Insecta; Diptera; Drosophilidae.
UGAACACAGCUGGUGGUAUCCAAU